This 2724-nucleotide ribosomal RNA is filed under the name Triticum aestivum (bread wheat). Its description in RNAcentral is "partial small subunit ribosomal RNA". The record is from RNAcentral. Lineage: Eukaryota; Viridiplantae; Streptophyta; Magnoliopsida; Poales; Poaceae.
UUUCGAUUAUAGGUCAAUUUUGACCCGAGCCCGUCAUCCCCAACCUCUCGACCUUAUCCUCCCACCGCCUCGCGACGCCCACCCGGCCUUCCACGACGCCGCCCACCUCGCCCGACCUUCCACCGCGCCGCCCCACCCGGCCUCCCACCGCGCCCCCCGCCCCGCCCAGCCUCCCACCGUGCCGCGCCGCCCCGCCCGGCCUCCCACCGCGCCACGCCGCCCCGCCCGACCUCCCAACGCACCGCGCCACCCCCGUUGGCGUCACCCCUGGACUCCGGCAGCGCUCCAGACCCUGCCGCUUGCUCCGUUGGCGAUGCCCGGUACAACCUGGACUUCGCCGCCACUCCUCCCCUGCACUCCCUUCCCCAUACUCCGUGGGUGACGCCCGGUACUGCUCUUCUCCCUACGCGCUGGUGCGUUGGUGUCGCCCCAAACAUGGGAGCCAUCCCAAGGCCGUAAGAGUCUCGAGCUUCCUGCAGUUCGAGGGCGAACACCGCAGGAUCUCCAGCAGGAAAGUGGUCGCACCAAGUUGAACUUGCUGCAGCACCAUCUUGACCAAGUCAAACUUGCAGCAGCCAGGGUACCACAGUCACUGGCAGCCGUCCACGAUGAGCUCUAACCGCAGUCCAAGUCGAACUACUACCACCAUCUUCACCAAGCGCUGCACUCAUUGUGCACCAACACAGUGCUUUCCAUGUCGAAAAACUAUGGAAAAUGGGGCAAAUAAUAUACCGUUGCCUCGUGUCUCAAAUGAUCUUAGAGAAGAGAUUUAGCCAGUCAGCAGCAUUUGUUGCCUUCACUCUGAUGGAAUAUGGUGGUGUUCCUCGGUACUCCACUCCAGAAUCUCUUUUGAAAAAAGCUCUCCAUGUCAUAGGUUGUGGCUACGAGGACAAGUCUGAAGGGGAACGAAGGUAGCAUAACAAUCAUUCCAGUAAUUUUCAUUCAUAUUUUUCUAUUACACAAAAUUUGUGCAAACAUAGAAGUGAGGUGUCAGUAUGCAAAAUUGUGGAUCACUUCAUUCCAGUAAAAGCAUAAUGUUUUUUAUAGCUUGAUUCCAGUAAAUGGGGAACUGAGGUAACAUAGAAAUCAUUCCAGUAAAAGCAGGCAUCUGUGUAUUUCAUCUUUAAGGGUCCACGACGGGAGUCUAGUUGUUUAUUCUUAUGCUUGGAGAACUUGUUCAGUUUGCAUGGGAGAACUUAUUCUAUUCCUGUUGCUCGCAAGCUGUUUGUUGAUAUGCCUAGAAGAACUGAAAUAAUCUUUUGUGAUGUUUCUUUGGUGUUAAAUAAAAGCUAUUUUUUAUGGACAUGUGGACUAUAAACAUUUGUUGUGGAGCAGUACACGUAUUUAAACUUUUAUGUGGACUAUAAACAUUUGCUAUAGUUCACCUUCAAAAACUCUGUAAGUACAGAGAUAUCACCUAGAUGUAAACAUUUGCUAUAGCUCACCUGCAAUAACUUCGUAAGUACAGAGAUAAUAUUUAUAUGGACAUGUGCACUAUAAAAAUUUGCUAUAGUUCACCUUCAAUAACUUUGUAAGUACAGAGAUAUCACCUAGAUGUAAUAUGUAACUAUUUAUUGCAAUCCGAGGAAUGGGUGUGUAUAUUGUAGUCUCUGCAUGCACAGUCGAGAUGUGUUCAGUCCAACCCCAUGGCAUCAGGGAGGUCGAGUUCGUCGCGAGCAGCAGUACAUGGUUGUCAGCUUCAACUUUCUUCCACCUAGGUGCUUUCACUCCUUGCAGCUUAUAUGUUUGUGUAGUUUGAACUUAGGCUGGUCUCCCUCUCGUACUUCAGUUUUUCAGUAUUGGACUAAUCAGUAUGGUGAAGAUGAAGUUCCUUUUUGAACUUCUCCGGUUAAUAUACAUGAACUUGGUCAUCUUUUUCACAUGUACUAACAUCAGCUCAUUCGGGAGUUGUUCGUGUACUUCUGACACAAAUCAUUAUAAAUCUCGAGAGAGGUAAGCUCAAAGAAAAAUAGAGAAGUUCGAAGCCAAAAUGUUUGCAUAUGUUUUGUUGAAUCGAGUUCCUCCCAAAAAAAAAGCACUAAAGGAGGUUAAAAAACAUGGUUGUGUUUGCUUAUGUGGUUUUCCCCUUCAAUUACAGAGAAAAGUGCAACUACGUAUAUGACAACGUUUCAGCUACAAAAGAUACAUCAGUUCAAUGAGAAAAGAACAUCAGCUCAAAAAAUAUAUAAAGGAGGUUGUGAGCCCAAAUAACUGAUUUUUUUGUUGUGUUAAAUUUUUCAGCUGAAAAAAGAGAAGAAUUUCUCUCAUCCUUCUUCUGAGAAGAUUGGGAUGGGAGUCUACGGGGCAGGCAAAGUGUGUUGUUGCUUCUACAAUUUCAAACAUUAAUUUGAGAAAAGUUAUUCCUCGGCUAAGUUUGAAAUAUGUCAUUUUGUGAAGUUUAGCUACUCAGCCAUGAACUACUAAAUGGUGGACUUGCAUUUUGUUUCUUCAGUACAUACAUGAGUUGAAUGUAAUACAUGGAACAUAUGUCAAAUCUCCAAGAUAGAGUUCAUAUUUAUUUUCUUCCAAGUAGCAAAUAUUUCUGUGGAUCAGUACAACUUCUGUACGACCUUUUGUUCACAAAUCUUGUAGUGUUGUUUCUACAUGAAUCUUUUUAGUACUUUUUAAAGCAAGCAUGGUCCAUUUGUAAAAGCAAGCGUUUUUAGUACUUUUUAAAGCAAGCGUUUUUGGUGGCCAAGUGUUAUUGAUUUGUGAGAGCUAAAC